This 253-nucleotide ribosomal RNA is filed under the name uncultured bacterium. Its description in RNAcentral is "partial 16S ribosomal RNA". It matches the Rfam family "Bacterial small subunit ribosomal RNA", at positions 524 to 776 of the family's 1533-position model. The record is from RNAcentral.
UACGAACUGUGCGAACGUUGUUCGGAAUCACUGGGCUUACAGGGUGCGUAGGCGGCUUGUUAAGUAGGGUGUGAAAGCCCCCGGCUCAACCGGGGAAUUGCGCCCUAAACUGGCGAGCUGGAGUGAGAUAGGGGUGUGUGGAACUUCCGGUGGAGCGGUGAAAUGUGUUGAUAUCGGAAGGAACGCCGGUGGCGAAAGCGACACACUGGAUCUUGUCUGACGCUGAGGCACGAAAGCCAGGGGAGCGAACGGG